Molecule: non-coding RNA, 3218 nt
Organism: Erythranthe guttata (spotted monkey flower)
Lineage: Eukaryota; Viridiplantae; Streptophyta; Magnoliopsida; Lamiales; Phrymaceae
Source: RefSeq, a predicted model, not a curated record
AAAAUAAAAAAAGAUAUUAUAGAUAAUUGAUGUCUCGAUUGAUUCUGCCUUGCAAAGGUUCGAGCUUUUCGAAGACAUGCCUCAUGGGUUUGGUCUCCUCUGCUCCUCUUCUGCCGAGUCGUGUGAAGGCGCAUUCGGUGAAACCUAGUACUUUAUACAGACGAUUCCUUAGUUCCAAGGCUACUAAUUGGAAUUGUCGGGUACCGUAUUACCCCUUGCAUCAUUUAGCAAAUACUAGACGGAGAUUAAUUUGCUCGGUUGCAACAGAACCGUUGUUCGAAGCAAGUCGAAGAAUUGUAUAUGGAUGCACCGAUAGAGAUCUUUUUAAAGGAUUACAAGCAACCCGAUUACUACUUCGACACGGUGGAUCUGAGUUUUACGUUGGGUGAGGAGAAAACAAUCGUUUAUUCGAAAAUAGCUGUCUCUCCCAGACUUGAAGGUAGUUCGUCACCUCUGAUCUUGGAUGGAGCUGAUUUGAAACUGAUUUCAUUGAAGGUCAAUGGUAACGAGCUCAAGGAGAACGAUUUCCGUGUAGACUCACGCCACCUCACUAUUUCGUCACCUCCAACCGGUAAAUUUACUUUGGAAGUCGUGACUGAAAUCUACCCAGAGAAGAACACUUCCUUGGACGGGCUCUAUAAGUCAUCAGGAAACUUCUGCACGCAAUGUGAAGCAGAAGGUUUUCGGAAAAUUACAUACUAUCAGGAUCGCCCCGAUAUAAUGGCGAAGUACACCUGUCGCAUUGAAGGGGACAAGUCACUGUACCCUGUACUUUUGUCUAACGGGAAUCUCGUAGAGGAAGGAGACUUGGAGGGAAACAAGCAUUACGCAAUAUGGGAGGAUCCUUUUGUGAAACCGUGCUAUCUUUUCGCAUUAGUUGCGGGAAAAUUGGAAAGUAGAGAUGAUACUUUCACAACUCGUUCGGGUCGAAAGGUCUUGCUUCGAAUAUGGACCCCACCACAAGAUCUUCCCAAGACAGCACAUGCUAUGUACUCUCUCAAAGCUGCAAUGAAAUGGGACGAAGAUGUUUUUGGGCUUGAAUACGACUUGGAUCUGUUUAACAUUGUAGCUGUUCCAGAUUUUAACAUGGGAGCGAUGGAAAACAAAAGUUUGAAUAUUUUUAAUUCCAAACUCGUCCUUGCAUCUCCGGAAACUGCUACAGAUGCAGAUUAUGCUGCAAUUUUGGGUGUGAUUGGGCACGAGUAUUUUCACAACUGGACAGGAAACAGAGUCACGUGUCGGGAUUGGUUCCAGCUCAGCUUAAAGGAAGGCCUCACUGUUUUCCGAGAUCAGGAAUUUUCGUCCGAUUUGGGAAGCCGCACAGUGAAACGAAUUGCUGAUGUUUCAAAGCUUCGAACCUAUCAAUUUCCUCAGGAUGCGGGCCCCAUGGCUCAUCCCGUGCGUCCUCACUCUUAUAUUAAGAUGGAUAACUUCUACACAGGCAAGUAUUUUCGUCUGUUUAUGAGAAGGUUAGAUAUUUAUUCUCUCUCCUCAGAUAUUUUAGUUUCUCGACUUUGAUUAAUGGCUAAAUCUUAAUUCUUGCUUAACUAAUACAAUUCUUUUGAUUAGGGAGCUGAAGUGGUGAGGAUGUACAAAACCUUGUUGACUAGUUCCGGAUUUAGGAAGGGAAUGGAUCUUUAUUUCAAGAGGCAUGAUGGGCAAGCUGUGACAUGUGAAGAUUUCUUUGCUGCCAUGAGAGAUGCAAACGGUGCCGAUUUCUCCAAUUUCUUGUUAUGGUACUCACAAGCAGGUACCCCUCGUGUGAAGGUUGUUUCUGCCUACAAUGCCGAAGCCAAGACAUUCUCCCUCAAGUUUAGUCAAGAGGUUCCUUCUACACCGGGCCAGCCCGUCAAAGAGCCCAUGUUCAUUCCGGUAGCUUUGGGCCUGGUGGGGUCCACAGGAAAGGAUAUUCCUUUAUCCUCCGUUUACCAUGACGGUAAAUUGGAGACUCUCUCUAGCAAUGGUCAGGCAGUUCACACUACCGUUCUCCGAGUUACAAAGAAAGAAGAAGAAUUUGUUUUCAAUGACGUACCGGAGCGACCUGUACCUUCGAUACUGAGAGGUUACAGUGCUCCUAUUAGACUGGAUUCGGAUCUCACCGAUGCUGACCUGUACUUUCUCCUUGCUAAUGAUUCAGAUGAAUUUAACCGAUGGGAGGCUGGGCAAGUAUUGGCUAGAAAAUUGAUGCUGAGCCUCGUUUCCGAUUCUCAGCAAAACAAGCCAUUGGUUUUAAAUCCGCAGUUUUUGCAUGGAAUUAAAAGUAUUCUUGGCGAUCCAAUCUUGGAUAAGGAAUUCAUUGCAAAGGCAUUAACUCUGCCCGGUGAAGGAGAAAUAAUGGACAUGCUGGAAGUUGCCGAUCCCGAUGCAGUUCAUGCAGUUAGAACUUUCAUCAGAAAGCAGCUCGCUUCUGAAUUAAAACAAGAAUUAAUUAACACUGUGAAAAACAACAGAAGCUCUGAGCAGUACGUGUUUGACCAUCCAAACAUGGCUAGACGUGCUCUAAAAAACGUCGCCCUUGCGUAUCUCGGAUCACUUGAAGAUGAAGAGAUAACCGAGCUUAUGUUGCACGAAUACAAAACUGCUACAAAUUUGACUGAGCAAUUUUCAGCACUCGUAGCUAUUGACCAGAAACCUGGUCAAACUCGGGACGAGGUUUUGGCCGAUUUCUACACCAAGUGGCAGCAUGAUUACUUGGUGAUAAAUAAAUGGUUGGCACUCCAAGCUAUGUCAGAUGUACCUGGAAAUGUUGAGAAUGUCCGUAAACUCCUAAAUCAUCCUGCCUUCGACAUUCGUAAUCCAAAUAAGGUGUACUCACUCAUUGGAGGAUUCUGUGGGUCCCCGGUGAACUUUCAUGCCAAAGAUGGAUCGGGCUAUAGAUUUUUGGGCGAAGUGGUUGUGCAGCUAGACAAGCUAAACCCACAGGUGGCGUCGAGGAUGGUUUCCGCUUUUUCUAGAUGGAAAAGAUAUGAUGAAACCCGACAAACUCUUGCAAAGGCUGAGCUGGAAAUGAUCUUGUCUGCUAACGGGCUGUCGGAGAAUGUGUUUGAGAUUGCAUCCAAGAGUUUGGCUGCUUGAACCUUUUCUUAAGAGCAGAUGAAUUUUAUUUAAUUUGAACCAAAACAUAUGUUAUAAUUUGACUUGUUAAAUUAUUACUAUACCAAUGACUCUUGCUGUUAAAUUAUAUUUUAAUUUAGACUAAAUAAAUAUUUUUACAUUUA